AAAUUUUUCCUCCCCAGCAGUUGGAAUAAGCAGCAGGAUAAACUUUACUGACUGGACAUUGCUGCAUCUGAGAAAUCCUGUGACAUCCGACAAAAGCCGGCACAAAGUAGCAUUUAGUUAUCUAUACAAGCCAAUGCAUAGUGGGGAGCCUUAAGAAAGCCCUGAUGACAUCUCCUGCUUAUGCUGGCUCUGAGUGCUCACCACAGGAGGAAAAAGGGAGCACCCCCAUGGCAAACAGACAUGGUUUUGGGGUACUACAAAUAAAACAUCUAUGAACAAUGGAUUCAAGUUUCUGUGUGGACAGGAGUUUU
This 311-nucleotide long non-coding RNA is filed under the name Mustela putorius furo (domestic ferret). RNAcentral describes it as "lncRNA (ENSMPUG00000030757.1)". The record is from RNAcentral. Lineage: Eukaryota; Metazoa; Chordata; Mammalia; Carnivora; Mustelidae.